UCGAGAAUCUUUCGCAAUGGGCGAAAGCCUGACGAAGCGACGCUGUGUGUGCGAUGAAGGCCUUCGGGUUGUAAAGCACUUUCGCUUGGGAACAAGAGAAGCCGGCUAACAUCCGGUGGAUUUGAGGGUACCAGGUAAAGAAGCACCGGCUAACUACGUGCCAGCAGCUGCGGUAAUACGUAGGGUGCAAGCAUUAAUCGGAUUUAUUGGGCGUAAAGGGCGCGUAGGCGGGAGCGUAAGUCAGAUGUGAAAUCCCGGGGCUCAACCCCGGAACUGCAUUUGAAACUGCGCAUCUAGAGGGUAGGCGGAGAAAACGGAAUUCCACAAGUAGCGGUGAAAUGCGUAGAUAUGUGGAAGAACACCGGUGGCGAAGGCGGUUUUCUAGCUUAUACCUGACGCUAAUGCGCGAAAGCAAGGGGAUCAAACA
RNAcentral lists this ribosomal RNA (427 nucleotides) under uncultured Neochlamydia sp. RNAcentral's name for it is "bacterial SSU rRNA". It matches the Rfam family "Bacterial small subunit ribosomal RNA", at positions 355 to 774 of the family's 1533-position model. Lineage: Bacteria; Pseudomonadati; Chlamydiota; Chlamydiia; Parachlamydiales; Parachlamydiaceae. The record is from RNAcentral.